GAUCCUGGCUCAGGAUGAACGCUAGCUACAGGCUUAACACAUGCAAGUCGAGGGGAAACGACAUCGAAAGCUUGCUUUUGAUGGGCGUCGACCGGCGCACGGGUGAGUAACGCGUAUCCAACCUGCCCAUCACUUGGGAAUAACCUUGCGAAAGUAAGACUAAUGCCCAAUGAUAUCCCACGAAGGCAUCUGAAAGAGAUUAAAGAUUUAUCGGUGAUGGAUGGGGAGUGCGU
RNAcentral lists this ribosomal RNA (233 nucleotides) under uncultured bacterium. Its description in RNAcentral is "partial 16S ribosomal RNA". It matches the Rfam family "Bacterial small subunit ribosomal RNA", at positions 15 to 236 of the family's 1533-position model. The record is from RNAcentral.